This 1150-nucleotide ribosomal RNA is filed under the name Lactiplantibacillus plantarum. Its description in RNAcentral is "bacterial SSU rRNA". It matches the Rfam family "Bacterial small subunit ribosomal RNA", at positions 70 to 1203 of the family's 1533-position model. The record is from RNAcentral. Lineage: Bacteria; Bacillati; Bacillota; Bacilli; Lactobacillales; Lactobacillaceae.
CAUCAUGAUUUACAUUUGAGUGAGUGGCGAACUGGUGAGUAACACGUGGGAAACCUGCCCAGAAGCGGGGGAUAACACCUGGAAACAGAUGCUAAUACCGCAUAACAACUUGGACCGCAUGGUCCGAGCUUGAAAGAUGGCUUCGGCUAUCACUUUUGGAUGGUCCCGCGGCGUAUUAGCUAGAUGGUGGGGUAACGGCUCACCAUGGCAAUGAUACGUAGCCGACCUGAGAGGGUAAUCGGCCACAUUGGGACUGAGACACGGCCCAAACUCCUACGGGAGGCAGCAGUAGGGAAUCUUCCACAAUGGACGAAAGUCUGAUGGAGCAACGCCGCGUGAGUGAAGAAGGGUUUCGGCUCGUAAAACUCUGUUGUUAAAGAAGAACAUAUCUGAGAGUAACUGUUCAGGUAUUGACGGUAUUUAACCAGAAAGCCACGGCUAACUACGUGCCAGCAGCCGCGGUAAUACGUAGGUGGCAAGCGUUGUCCGGAUUUAUUGGGCGUAAAGCGAGCGCAGGCGGUUUUUUAAGUCUGAUGUGAAAGCCUUCGGCUCAACCGAAGAAGUGCAUCGGAAACUGGGAAACUUGAGUGCAGAAGAGGACAGUGGAACUCCAUGUGUAGCGGUGAAAUGCGUAGAUAUAUGGAAGAACACCAGUGGCGAAGGCGGCUGUCUGGUCUGUAACUGACGCUGAGGCUCGAAAGUAUGGGUAGCAAACAGGAUUAGAUACCCUGGUAGUCCAUACCGUAAACGAUGAAUGCUAAGUGUUGGAAGGGUUUCCGCCCUUCAGUGCUGCAGCUAACGCAUUAAGCAUUCCGCCUGGGGGAGUACGGCCGCAAGGCUGAAACUCAAAGGAAUUGACGGGGGCCCGCACAAGCGGUGGAGCAUGUGGUUUAAUUCGAAGCUACGCGAAGAACCUUACCAGGUCUUGACAUACUAUGCAAAUCUAAGAGAUUAGACGUUCCCUUCGGGGACAUGGAUACAGGUGGGUGCAGGGUUGUCGUCAGCUCGUGUCGUGAGAAGUUUGGGUUAAGUCCCCCCACCAAGCGCAACCCUUAUUAUCAUUUGCCACCAUUAAAUUGGGCCUCCUGGUGAGACUGCCGGUGACAACCCGAGGAAGGGGGGGGGUGGAAUUCAAAUAUUAAUGCCCCCU